UUUCCGUAGGUGAGCCUGCGGAAGGAUCAUUGUAGGAUUGUUUUGGGAGGGAUGGUUGUGAUUUGUGGGGAUUGUGUGUGGUUGUUUGGAUUGCUUGGAUUGCCUGGCUGUCUGCAACUCGACUCGUCUCAUCACAACCACUCUUUACAUUGGCACAGACCAGUGGUCUGGUGUUUGGAGCAACAGACCACUGGUGUCUGAUGUUUGCGCUUGCUCGUUUGACAGAAACAAUACCAUAUCAUAUUAUCAUUGCAAAACUUUUAACAAUGGAUCUCUUGGCUCUU
This 284-nucleotide unclassified non-coding RNA is filed under the name plant metagenome. RNAcentral's name for it is "partial contains small subunit ribosomal RNA, internal transcribed spacer 1, and 5.8S ribosomal RNA". The record is from RNAcentral.